This 484-nucleotide ribosomal RNA is filed under the name uncultured bacterium. RNAcentral's name for it is "partial 16S ribosomal RNA". It matches the Rfam family "Bacterial small subunit ribosomal RNA", at positions 30 to 507 of the family's 1533-position model. The record is from RNAcentral.
AUUGAACGCUGGCGGCAGGCCUAACACAUGCAAGUCGAGCGGAUGAAGGGAGCUUGCUCCUGGAUUCAGCGGCGGACGGGUGAGUAAUGCCUAGGAAUCUGCCUGGUAGUGGGGGAUAACGUCCGGAAACGGGCGCUAAUACCGCAUACGGCCUGAGGGAGAAAGUGGGGGAUCUUCGGACCUCACGCUAUCAGAUGAGCCUAGGUCGGAUUAGCUAGUUGGUGGGGUAAAGGCCUACCAAGGCGACGGUCCGUAACUGGUCUGAGAGGAUGAUCAGUCACACUGGAACUGAGACACGAUCCAGACUCCUACGGGAGGCAGCAGUGGGGAAUAUUGGACGAUGGGCGAAAGCCUGAUCCAGCCAUGCCGCGUGUGUGAAGAAGGUCUUCGGAUUGUAAAGCACUUUAAGUUGGGAGGAAGGGCAGUAAGUUAAUACCUUGCUGUUUUGACGUUACCAACAGAAUAAGCACCGGCUAACUUCGUG